RNAcentral lists this long non-coding RNA (1961 nucleotides) under Cottoperca gobio. Its description in RNAcentral is "lncRNA (ENSCGOG00000020081.1)". Lineage: Eukaryota; Metazoa; Chordata; Actinopteri; Perciformes; Bovichtidae. The record is from RNAcentral.
UCAGAGACUAAGUUUGGAAGAGCAGCAUUGAGCAGCAAUGUCCGUAUUUAAAAGUCACGAUAACUAAUGUCACAUUUUCUGUCUCAGAUCAGCAGGUGGUCCUGCAGAAAUAUAAGCACGUUGUGGAUGGUCUGGUGUUCACUCUCCGAGACAGCCUUGACCCUCACACUUCCUCUCCGAGACAGGAUCUUACAGCUCCAGUGCAGGUGAGCACAACGUUUCUGUCAUUCAAAAAAUAAAUGUCAAUUUACAGUUCUCAAUGUCAUGUAGUUAUAUGAUAACUACUUAUGCUUAUCCAUCUGACACCAGUAAACUGUUGUGAUCAUUUUUUUGGAUGCGUCUGUCAACAGCAGGGACGGCAGUCCAUUCCUGCCUCUACCCCUCCACCAAGUGGUGAAGAAUAUGAACUACAACCUGAUGCUUACCUCCUACGUUACUUAAAGGAAUGCCCAAAGGCUAGGAAAGAACUAGAGAAAGAACUCUCCUCUUUGGCCUGCUCUGCUCAGCUGUACCCAGAGGAAGGGAGGGUUUUAGUUAGCCGUUUAGCUAAACCUGGUGCUCCACAUGAUGUUACAAAUUGGAAAGCAGAAGUAGACAAACUCAUUGAUGGCUACCUGUGCCACUGUGAGGUGGACGUUCACAAAAUUAAAGCUUUGCUUCAGUCCCGCAGCUCUCCUCAGACCACAGACGACGUGAAGGUGUACAGCGAGGAUAGGAUGGCUGUUGUUGUCGGUGAGCGUUCUCAGGUGAAAGCCAGGUUGAUGGCUGUGGAGGACUUGCUUGUUAAACGAGGGUCACGUUUUAGUGGGAAGGAAACCAGCAUUCGUAGACUGGGCGUGGCAAAGUUCCGCCUCCUCUGGAAAAAGAUUGAGCAAGGUUUGCAACAAGAUUUUCCAGAAGUGAAGUUUGUGCAGGGAGCUGCAGGUCAGUUAGUUUUGGAAGGCUCUGCCAAAGAGAUUCUCAAGGCUGGAGCUUGGAUCUCUGAUCAGGAGAAGUUUGUGUUCGAAAGGACAGUUUCUGACAUGAGCCCACAUUUUUUGGCCUUCCUAAGAAAGGCCUAUGGAGGUCCAGGGGUGCUAGGGGACUUUCUAGGGGUUAGUGACAAAGUGGAAGUAGAGUUACGAGACAUAGAGCUAUGUUUCUUCACCCUUUCCUCCAAUAAUCUUGAUGAAACAGAAAAGGCACUGCAAGCUGAGAUCAAGGAAGUCAAGAUUGAUGUUCCUAGCUGCUCUGUUGUGCCAUCUGAGCUUCAGGAAAAGCUUAAGUCCAAGACAAAUGAGAUGAACCAAAGGCAAUACAGGGCUCAGGUCGUGUUUGGCUCAGACAGCACGGUGUGCUUACUGGGCCACACCAAAGAGGUUGAAGACCUGAAUGAAGCUGUCAUACAGUUUAUUUUGGACCAUUCUAGUGCGCAAAGCAUAGUCCAUCUGCCUUUCAAAGAGUUACCAGAAUUGCCCAAUUCCUUUUUUCUUCGGGAAAGAGUCCCCGUUGAACCAUUAGGGGCAGAACAAUAUUGCAGAAGCCCCACUGAGAAAGACGAACUCUUAAGUGUUGACCAGCUUCUCCAAGGAAUAAGUACCGGAAACAGUACACCAGGUGAUCAUGGGUUCCAGAUGGAUGCUACUGCCCAAGAUAAAGCUAGAGGAGCCACCGCUGGAGCUCCCGGAGGUGGUGUCCAUGUAAAGAUCAUUCAGGGAAGAGUGGAGACCCAGCAGGUGGAUGCCCUGGUAUCGCCCAUGGCUGGCCAUGACCCCCUCUCUACCAGUGUUGGAAACACCUUGUUUAAAAUAGUUGGAUCCCAGCUGACUGCAAUGUUUAGAAAGGAAGCUGUAGAAGAAACAUGGCCUGGUAACACAGUCCUGGUGGAGGGCCUGCCUGAACUUCCGUCUAAUGCAGUAUUCUUCCUCAACCUCACUCCCUGGGAUGAUGACCACGAUGGAACUGCAGUCGAGGUGAAAUAA